RNAcentral lists this unclassified non-coding RNA (222 nucleotides) under Hevea brasiliensis (rubber tree). Lineage: Eukaryota; Viridiplantae; Streptophyta; Magnoliopsida; Malpighiales; Euphorbiaceae. The record is from RNAcentral.
CGGUACACACCUUCAAUCGCAGACGCACUAUGUGUGGCACUCUAGACUAUUUGCCACCUGAGAUGGUGGAAAGUGUGGAGCAUGAUGCAAAUGUGGACAUUUGGAGCCUUGGUAUUCUCUGCUAUGAAUUCUUAUACGGGGUGCCUCCAUUUGAAGCAAAGGAACACUCAGACACAUAUAGAAGGAUUAUACAAGUGGAUCUAAAAUUUCCUUCCAGACCAG